AGGAAAUGGAAAAAUCUUCCCGAAAUUUAAAUUCUUUAUGUUAGCAGUUUAGUUUCUGAAGUAAUAUGGUCGAUAUUAUCUUCUAAGUAAAUUUGAAUGUUAGUUGAUCGAGAUUUCUUAGUGCUUCUUAGUUUGCAUCAUGAAAAAAAAAAAAAACAAAGAAAGUGUUUCAAAAAUUGACUGACAGCACAGAAAUUGUUCAAACUAGCUUUAUUUUCUCCAAAUUGAGAAAACACGGAGAGAAAAAAAAAGUCUGUUUUCAAAUCUUUCCUUCCUCUAAUUUAUAAGACUUAACUAGGUCUCACUUUAUACGUAUUUAGUGUUUCCGCUCGGUGACGUCAUCGUGAUGGGUAUUAUUAAAAGAAAGAUGGCUUUUUCUUGUUCGCGUCAUUGCUGUAAAAGAAAAAAAAAUCGAGCUGAAUCUUGUCACUUUUUCUGAUUGUAAAAGAACUCUAUCUCUUUCACACUUCUGAAGUUUUCGAUCUUCUUCAGCAUGUUUUCCGAAUGGUGACAAAAGUAUAUUUAAUGUGUGACAACUACCAAAAGUGACAAGUUCCGGCAGUUUUGGGAUUUCAUCUAUGAUUAAAAAUAUCCCCAAAUGGAGGGAGAGUUAACGAUGUUUGUAUAUUUUGUGUUUAUUAGUGUGAGAAUUGGGAAUUGCAUUUCUUGUGCGUUAAUUGAAUUUCUUCAACUCCACCUUGUUAACUUAAUAGCUUUAUAUACUCUCUGUGAAUUUUGUGUCGGGAAAGAUGGUUGUUUUGUGGGAUCUGCACAAGAGCGUCAUUCAAAAUGCUGAUAAUCGUAAGUAGUAUCUACUCUGAUAACAAUAACAAAUUACUUCUCUUUCCUAGAGGGAGAGGGAAGAAAAAAAAAACUACUUCUUUUGUUUAUACAUAUCCUAGAUAAUCUUGUAGAUGCCGAAAAUGAUCUUUGGGAAGCUUGAUAAAUAAGUCAUUCAUCAAGAGAGAUUUGCUGGAGAAAAAUUGCACAAUUUGAGAUACUAAUGAGGAUGAAAUUCGGUUGUUAACAUUGGCACAAAUUCGAAACUGGAAACAGCAAAAAUUGGAAUGUUCUUCAAGGAUGAGAAAGCUGAUGAUUUGGGGAAAGAUGCGGAGUAUAAGUUAUUUAUAGAAGUGAUGGUUGGUGGAGAGGGCUAGUCUGUUUUAUCGAAACGAUUAUCAGUUGGAGAAUCGAUUGUGCUGUAUGAAGGCAGCGAUGCUGGCUCUGAUGGCUGAUGUUAUAAUUUUUUUUUUCCUCCUACUAUCGAUUCGCAUUCGUGCUUUAUGUUUAGCUUAUAUUUAUCGAGAUUCUCCGAAUUUAGCAUCAACUACAAUCAAAAAUUUCCAGAAAUGUCCACAUUUUCUAAACUUUGAACUGUUGUUAUCAGCAUUAAACACGUUAUUGAUAGCUGCAAAACAAAAAAAAAAAAAAAAUUGUUAAAACUUUUAACUUGUUAUCAUUAUUUUAACAAUGGCACUGCUAUUAAAUUGGCUCUAGGUAUACGAUUUCGACUUUUUUUUUCUUUUAGUUAACCGAAAGGCAUUUGAUUUAUUGAUGGAGAUCCGCCAUUAAACAAGAGUGAACUGAAAAAAUUGAAGUUAAGUGCCAAAAAUUUAGGUCAACGGGUAUAAUGUUAUGGCUACGUUUCCCCUACAAUAGCAUAAUAAAUCUAUGAGACUAUUACUUGAUUUCCGCCAAUUAGCCUCAUAACAACCAAGAGGUACCAAUAAACAAUGGCAAUGUGGUGGUGUGACGUGUCAGCAUUUUGUUUCACGGUCGCUAUUUUAGUUGAACGUCCUCUGGCCGGACGUAGAUAACAAAACAUGGGUUUAGGUAUCAGUCACGUGAAUCGCUAUCUUCAUUAUCAUCGUCUAUUGUGUUGAUUCUCGCUCCCCUUUCCGAACGUUGUUAUGUUAACGCCUCAUUUUUGUGUUGUACAAGGCGUAACUCGAACUUAUGAGAUCUCAAUAGAAGGUAAUUAGAAUCUGUUACGUUUUAUCAGUUUCUCUUUCAUUAGCGCUUAAUGUGCGAACGUUAUCAUAUUCAAAAUUUUCUUUUAAUAAUCGCAUGUUUUGGAGAAAAAAUGCGACAGGUAUUAUUCAAAACAAGUUUCGUAAUAUAUCUGGAUCAAUAUAGGGAAUAUGAUCUGUUUUGAUACGCCGAAAAUCAUUAAAAAUAGCUAUUCGCAAACGAACUUUGUGCAAUGGUUUCGAAUUACUUAAAAGCGUAAUCGUUUUAAAGAAUACAUUGCACAAUGUGGAGAAAGACUCAAAAUUAAAUAUAGUUUUAUGCUUAUUCACGAUCACGAAUGUACUGUAGAUAAGAAAGAUAAAUUAGUUUAACUGUAUUUCAGUUUUUGGAAGUAAAUAGGUCAUCUACGC
RNAcentral lists this long non-coding RNA (2381 nucleotides) under Androctonus crassicauda. Lineage: Eukaryota; Metazoa; Arthropoda; Arachnida; Scorpiones; Buthidae. The record is from RNAcentral.